RNAcentral lists this ribosomal RNA (629 nucleotides) under Escherichia coli. Its description in RNAcentral is "partial 23S ribosomal RNA". It matches the Rfam family "Bacterial large subunit ribosomal RNA", at positions 2253 to 2876 of the family's 2925-position model. Lineage: Bacteria; Pseudomonadati; Pseudomonadota; Gammaproteobacteria; Enterobacterales; Enterobacteriaceae. The record is from RNAcentral.
AGUGUCUGGUGGGUAGUUUGACUGGGGCGGUCUCCUCCUAAAGAGUAACGGAGGAGCACGAAGGUUGGCUAAUCCUGGUCGGACAUCAGGAGGUUAGUGCAAUGGCAUAAGCCAGCUUGACUGCGAGCGUGACGGCGCGAGCAGGUGCGAAAGCAGGUCAUAGUGAUCCGGUGGUUCUGAAUGGAAGGGCCAUCGCUCAACGGAUAAAAGGUACUCCGGGGAUAACAGGCUGAUACCGCCCAAGAGUUCAUAUCGACGGCGGUGUUUGGCACCUCGAUGUCGGCUCAUCACAUCCUGGGGCUGAAGUAGGUCCCAAGGGUAUGGCUGUUCGCCAUUUAAAGUGGUACGCGAGCUGGGUUUAGAACGUCGUGAGACAGUUCGGUCCCUAUCUGCCGUGGGCGCUGGAGAACUGAGGGGGGCUGCUCCUAGUACGAGAGGACCGGAGUGGACGCAUCACUGGUGUUCGGGUUGUCAUGCCAAUGGCACUGCCCGGUAGCUAAAUGCGGAAGAGAUAAGUGCUGAAAGCAUCUAAGCACGAAACUUGCCCCGAGAUGAGUUCUCCCUGACUCCCUGAGAGUCCUGAAGGAACGUUGAAGACGACGACGUUGAUAGGCCGGGUGUGUAAGCGC